This 776-nucleotide long non-coding RNA is filed under the name Hordeum vulgare. RNAcentral's name for it is "long non-coding RNA (HVUL_LNC004009)". Lineage: Eukaryota; Viridiplantae; Streptophyta; Magnoliopsida; Poales; Poaceae. The record is from RNAcentral.
CGAUGAUAAGGUAAAUCAAAGGUUUUCAUUUACGAUUGACAUUUUCAGUCAGGAUAGCUCAAUUGCGGCUUUCAACUCGUAAGCACGAGAUCGAAUAGUAUUCGUCGUACCUUGUUUCUAAGUCUCCAACCCUUUCCUUGGUUCUCCGAAUCGUACGUUACUAUCAGCCCAAAACCCUGGUUGGCUGGCGUCCGGGCCUAUCGGCAGAGAGACAAGCUCUUGUGUGUUGAUCAAAAAGUAUAGAGAUUCCAUGCCUUAUACAAACAAAUAGCAUAUAACCUAGAAGAUUUUGUGACUACGAGUUGCGAUCGAUAAAGCGGCGGAGCCGGGGUAAUGGCUAUGGCUGCGUGCAACGCCCUAGUGGGGCCGGUAAGACCAUAUAUCACUGCUUAAUAUCUAUUUUAAGGCAUGGGUUUGAAGGGGUCGUGGGCGAUUCCCCAAAAGGUGUGGAAAGUCAGUUAUAUGCUCGAUUUGUUAACGAAAAAGAGAUCUUCUCUCGAAAAAAGAAAUAGAAACAAUCUUGGUCAAGAGUGAGCUACGCUAUACCCGUGCGAAGGAAGAACGGACGUCACUCAUAAACUGCUUCCACAAUGGAACCGUCCCGAGACAAUAGGUUCUCGUCUUGAACAUAAAGAGGGCAGGCAAGAAGAACCUCCACCAAGUUUUUGAUUCUUGGUGAUUUGACGGUAUCAAUGUCCCUCUCCCUUUUUGAGGACUGGGAUGGCGUCCUUUCCCCGGCAAGGUGUCUACUAGGGGGCCGAAGUCAACCCGUCUUC